Molecule: long non-coding RNA, 670 nt
Filed under: Physcomitrium patens
Lineage: Eukaryota; Viridiplantae; Streptophyta; Bryopsida; Funariales; Funariaceae
Description: long non-coding RNA (PPAT_LNC003911)
Source: RNAcentral
GAAAAUAAUCUCAAAAAUGUACUUGGGUGUAAGCUAGCCUCCUUCUCUGACCUUGAUGCCAUUUUCUUAGAGCCAAUUACUCCCGAUUGAACCAUUACUUUACUUCCAAUCUUUAUACACUUGAUAGAAAUCAAGUUGAAUACCUUUGUGAAAAGUUUUGCUUCAAUCUAACGAGUGGAUUGACAAAUAUCUAAAAAAACCUCAUUAGUCUUGAAAACCUAGAAUUUUAAGACCAUAACACAUAAAAACUUUUAUGCUUUUCAAUCUAACUAUUUGAUCAAAUCUAAAUUUAUAGCACACAUCUAAUACAACUACACCCACAAACUCAAAAAAAUUCACUUAUAGAUUUGUUAUCAAACUUCUGAAAUUGCCCAAAAUAUCAAUCCUAAUUUAUUUUCUAAAAAUUGAGAGUCACUAAUAAAAAAAUCCUCAACUUUGUAAACCUCUUAUAAAGUCAUUAUUUACUCAAAUUUCUCAAAAGUAGUGCCUACAAAAACCAUAUCAAUUAUCUUCUUAAACUCCACUCUCCAAUCAACAAAAGAAUCCCAAAAUUAUUGUCAAGGCUUGGUUUUAUGCCUUGAUUUCGACCCUAAUUAAUAACCUGUCUUCUCUAAGUAUCAAUUUUUGUCUCUUUUAAAGUAAAUUCUGCCAAAACCAAUUCCUACCUCCC